AAGUCGUAACAAGGUUUCCGUAGGUGAACCUGCGGAAGGAUCAUUAACACGUAUCCAACGUUAAACCCCCCUGUGAACCUUCGUCCGCCGGCCCGUGGUGAGCCUCUAGCGAUCGUAAUGUUAACCUCGAAACCGUACAGCGACACUUUAAUCCGCCCGGCCAGGUCUCCAGACCCACUGCGUAUGCGCUCAAUUGAAGUCCUGGACAGAGGUCCUGAAUCAAAAACGACUUUCGCCACUGAUUUACCAGGAUUGCUGUUCCGUACGGUAUCAAGAGCUCUCUGGCCUCGAGCCCCCCUACCUGACGACCAAGUUAAACCGGGCCUCGUCACAUAGCAAGUGCGCCGUGAUGGAGGAAAACGUACAACUGUUAACAAUGGAUAUCUUGGUUCUC
This 394-nucleotide unclassified non-coding RNA is filed under the name fungal sp. RNAcentral describes it as "partial internal transcribed spacer region". The stretch from base 1 to 46 matches the Rfam family "Eukaryotic small subunit ribosomal RNA", at positions 1786 to 1831 of the family's 1831-position model. Lineage: Eukaryota; Fungi. The record is from RNAcentral.